CUCCAGUGCCUACACCAGCCCCCUGUCCCUGUUGGAGCACCCAGAUGUCCUCACCUUGAUCCUGCUUACGGCUUCCUGGGCCUGCAUCAUGCGCACGUUUUUGGAAGGAGUUUUGUCUGAGAGCAGCUGAGUGGAGCCAAGCAGUGGCAGAUCUUGGCAGUUAAGAGCACGGGUUCCCAUGAGUUCUGGAUUUGAAUCCUGGCUGACCACUUGUGAGCUCUACAAUCUCAGGGCAAAGCCCUCCUGUUCCCAGCCCCAAGUCGGUUAAACCCAUGUUAAAUCUAUAGGUUGAAGACCUGGAUCAUUCGAAGCCCAGAGCCUUGCACAGCAGCGAUCUGCUCCAACAGAGGGUGAUGUCAUCAUCCGAGGCCACACAAAUAAUGCAUUUCUCACCAUCAAAAAGCUUCUGAAGCCAUGUUCUCAAAGGCAAAAAAUAAAUAAAUAAAUAACCAAUUAACUACACCAGUGUAAGGGUGAAACAAGUUCUUAUCUGAUAAAACUGACUUAUAAACACAGGUUAUCUCUUCCCCCUUUGAAACAGCCUCACUGUAUUUAAAUGAAAUGCGCUACAAUUUGGAAAAAUG
Molecule: long non-coding RNA, 584 nt
Filed under: Homo sapiens (human)
Lineage: Eukaryota; Metazoa; Chordata; Mammalia; Primates; Hominidae
Description: HSALNT0149937
Source: RNAcentral